Molecule: ribosomal RNA, 727 nt
Filed under: Lens culinaris (lentil)
Lineage: Eukaryota; Viridiplantae; Streptophyta; Magnoliopsida; Fabales; Fabaceae
Description: eukaryotic LSU rRNA
Rfam family: 5.8S ribosomal RNA (bases 277-432)
Source: RNAcentral
AAGGUUUCCGUAGGUGAACCUGCGGAAGGAUCAUUGUCGAUGCCUUACAUGCAGUCCAACACGUGAAUCGGUUUGAACACAUACGGCGGGCUUGAGGUGUUCCACACCUCGGCUUACGUCUGGUCUGGAGGCGGCCGACGAAGUGCGUUCUCCUCCGUGCCAAAACUCAAAUCCCGGCGCUGAAUGCGUCAAGGAAAUUAAAUUUUGCUCUGAGCGCACCUGCAUGGCACCGGAGACGGUUUCGUGCGGGUUGUGUUUUGACACAUGAUAUAGAAUGACUCUCGGCAACGGAUAUCUAGGCUCUUGCAUCGAUGAAGAACGUAGCGAAAUGCGAUACUUGGUGUGAAUUGCAGAAUCCCGUGAACCAUCGAGUCUUUGAACGCAAGUUGCGCCCGAUGCCAUUAGGUUGAGGGCACGUCUGCCUGGGUGUCACAUAUCGAAGCCUCCUGCCAAUUUCCUUUUGACGGGUAUUGCGCACGGUGGAUGUUGGCCUCCCGUGAGCUCUUUCGUCUCAUGGUUGGUUGAAAAUUGAGACCUUGGUAGGGUGUGCCAUGAUAGAUGGUGGUUGUGUGACCCACGAGACCAAUCAUGCGCUGCCCUAUUGAAUUUGGCCUCUUUUACCCAUAUGCGUUUCUAAACGCUCGUGAUGAGACCUCAGGUCAGGCGGGGCUACCCGCUGAAUUUAAGCAUAUCAAUAAGCGGAGGAAAAGAAACUAACAAGGAUUCC